GACGAACGCUGGCGGCGUGCUUAACACAUGCAAGUCGAACGCUCUCGACCUUCGGGUCACAUGAGAGAGUGGCGAACGGGUGAGUAACACGUGAGGAACCUACCCCAAAGUCGGGAAUAACUCAGGGAAACCUGAGCUAAUACCGGAUGCCCUCCAGAGAUCGAAUGGUCAUUGGAGGAAAGAUUUAUCGCUUUGGGACGGCCUCGCGGCCUAUCAGCUAGUUGGUGAGGUAAUGGCUCACCAAGGCAUCGACGGGUAGCUGGUUUGAGAGAACGAUCAGCCACACUGGGACUGAGACACGGCCCAGACUCCUACGGGAGGCAGCAGUGGGGAAUCUUGCACAAUGGGCGAAAGCCUGAUGCAGCGACGCCGCGUGGGGGAUGAAGGCCUUAGGGUCGUAAACCCCUUUCAGUAGGGACGAAAAUGACGGUACCUACAGAAGAAGCCCGGCCAACUACGUG
This 461-nucleotide ribosomal RNA is filed under the name uncultured bacterium. RNAcentral's name for it is "bacterial SSU rRNA". It matches the Rfam family "Bacterial small subunit ribosomal RNA", at positions 28 to 507 of the family's 1533-position model. The record is from RNAcentral.